GAAUCUGAGGGUGAUCUAACUCCAACAACUGUCACUCACUGAUCACUGGAUAGGUGUCCCCUUCCUCCAUCAACAUUCCUUGUACUACUCCUGAAGCUGAGCAUAAAGAAGAGAGAGACCUUCCCACAGAGAAGAAACUGUUAUUUUAAGAUUUUACUUCGUUUUUAGUUAUGUGUAUACCUGUGUGUGCAUGUGAGUACACAUGGGUUCCAGUACCCAUAGAGACUGGAAGAGGGCAUCAGAUACCCUGGAAUGGGACUUACAGGGGUUUGUGAGCCCACAGCUCAGUGUGUCUGCUAGGAGUCACGCUUCUAAGCCAUCUCUCCAACCUCAGGAGGAUCAUUCUGGAAUUAAAGGUAGACAAGUAGCCGUGCUCCUUUGCUAGAACCUGCAAGCAAGCUCUCUUUGGAGCCUUGUGGGAGACUGAAGAAUAGGAGACCACCUGAGCCAAUCCCAAUUUCCUGAUCUACAAAAACCUGGGAUU
RNAcentral lists this small nuclear RNA (484 nucleotides) under Mus musculus (house mouse). RNAcentral describes it as "7SK RNA". It matches the Rfam family "7SK RNA". Rfam says of the family: 7SK was discovered as an abundant small nuclear RNA in the mid-70s but a possible function has only recently been suggested. Two independent studies have found that 7SK RNA binds the CDK9/cyclin T complex (known as elongation factor P-TEFb). P-TEFb activates transcription by phosphorylating the C-terminal domain of RNA polymerase II. The record is from Rfam by way of RNAcentral. Lineage: Eukaryota; Metazoa; Chordata; Mammalia; Rodentia; Muridae.